Molecule: small nucleolar RNA, 110 nt
Organism: Rattus norvegicus (Norway rat)
Lineage: Eukaryota; Metazoa; Chordata; Mammalia; Rodentia; Muridae
Product: small nucleolar RNA U13
Source: Ensembl
AUCUUGAAAAAUGGUAACUUUGAAAGCACGAUGAUUGGGUGUUCAUGCCAUUGUGUGAUAUGUGCCACCACUAAACCCUGUUAUGACAUGCGCACAUUACCCAUCUGAUG